RNAcentral lists this ribosomal RNA (441 nucleotides) under uncultured bacterium. Its description in RNAcentral is "partial 16S ribosomal RNA". It matches the Rfam family "Bacterial small subunit ribosomal RNA", at positions 339 to 795 of the family's 1533-position model. The record is from RNAcentral.
CUACGGGGUGCAGCAGUCGAGAAUCUUCGGCAAUGUACGAAAGUGCGACCGAGCGACGCUGCGUGCAGGAAGAAGGCCUUCGGGUUGUAAACUGCUGUUCUGGCGGAAGAACUUUGACGGUACGUCAGCAGAAAGGGGCACCUAAUCUCGUGCCAGCAGGGUGCGGUAAUACGAGAGCCCCAAGCGUUACCCGGAUUUAUUGGGCGUAAAGCGUCCGCAGGCGGGAUGAUGCGUCUACUGUUAAAUCUUAGGGCUCAACCCUAAACCGGCAGUAGAUACGGUCAUCCUUGAGGCAGGGAGAGGUAAGCGGAACUCCUGGUGGAGCGGUGAAAUGCGUUGAUAUCAGGGGGAACACCAAUUGCGAAGGCAGCUUACUGGUCCUGUCCUGACGCUCAGGGACGACAGCGUAGGGAGAGAAUGGGAUUAGAUACCCGAGUAGUC